Molecule: ribosomal RNA, 398 nt
Filed under: uncultured bacterium
Lineage: Bacteria
Description: bacterial SSU rRNA
Rfam family: Bacterial small subunit ribosomal RNA
Source: RNAcentral
AACGAACGCUGGCGGCGUGCCUAACACAUGCAAGUCGAGCGGGAUCCAACCGGUGGCAACACCGGGGAAGAUCUAGCGGCGAACGGGUGAGUAACACGUGAGCAACCUGCCCCGAAGACUGGGAUAACACCGGGAAACCGGUGCUAAUACCGGAUGUCGUCAUUAGGCCGCAUGACCUGAUGAUGAAAGGAUUCAUCGCUUCGGGAGGGGCUCGCGGGCUAUCAGCNGUUGGUGGGGUAACGGCCUACCAAGGCGACGACGGCUAGCUGGUCUGAGAGGACGACCAGCCACACUGGGACUGAGACACGGCCCAGACUCCUACGGGAGGCAGCAGUGGGGAAUCUUGCGCAAUGGGCGAAAGCCUGACGCAGCAACGCCGCGUGGGGGAUGAAUGCCUU